UCAAGGCUGGCCUGCAACAGAAAAGAUUCCAGACAAUUAAGGCAGGCCUAACCCCAGAGGCUGGGGCCCAGGUCUGGGUCCUGCACCCCUGGAGCAGCAGGGGGCGGGGCAACCCCCUCCCCAAGGAACAGGCAAUGACAAGGCCUCAACCUCAAAGAACAUUUCCGUAUUAAAUGGGCUCCUUGAUAUCAGUGAGAAUCACACCUGAAGUAAGAGACACCCAGAAGCUGCCAAUGACGGAGCUGGGGACCAAGGGUCUGGAAUCACUAAGAGCUGCAGGGCAGGCCUGUUGACCACGUAGCAGCCCUGAUAAAGGAGAUCCAAGGGCAAAACUUUGCUGUUUGCCUCAUCGCCUUCACAUCCCAUUGGCAAGUUCAUCGACUGUUGCCGCUGCCGCUGCCGCUGCCUUCCCCCACUGAUGCCAGCUUCAUCAAGUUUCCAAUGGGGACUGAAGACCAGUCACUCUCCAAGAAUCCUCCAGCCUCCGGCACACCAGUCUGGGGCUGCCAGGACCUCAGCUGCAUGGACUGAACAGCUACAGGUUUCCCGCUUCUCUGGUGUGAAGAAAGCCGCUGUUAGGUUGACUACCCAAAUCACGUCGGGUAAACCAAUCUAAUCAAUCCCCCUUUAAUAUAUACUCAAACCAUAGCUUCUAUCCCUCUCAAGAACCCUGACUACUACAGUUCUUCCCCGGGUAGUCCUGAGAUGCUCACUGGCAACAACAGGAGAGAUAUCAGGAAACCAAACCCCUCUUCGCUCAGCAGGUGAGAGACCAGGGAAAAAGGAGGAGAGGCGGAGGCGAGGUGAGCUUGGGUGCUGAAAGAAAGACAGGAGGACUAAAAAAAGAGACGAUUCAUUUUGCAUGUAGGAUCCCACAGAGACUUGCACUCUGGUCCCAAUGUUUAUUUUAAUAGCGGUGUCCAUUUCCUUCUGCUACUGUAAUAAAUUAUGACAAAUGCAGUGGCUUAAAAUAACGCAUUUAAUUAUUUUACCAUU
Molecule: long non-coding RNA, 996 nt
Organism: Peromyscus leucopus (white-footed mouse)
Lineage: Eukaryota; Metazoa; Chordata; Mammalia; Rodentia; Cricetidae
Exons: 3
Source: RefSeq, a predicted model, not a curated record